AGAGUUUGAUCCUGGCUCAGAUUGAACGCUGGCGGUAUGCUUUACACAUGCAAGUCGAACGGAUCAAGAAGCUUGCUUCUUGGUUAGUGGCGAACGGGUGAGUAAUAUAUCGGAACAUAUCCGGAAGUGGGGGAUAACGUAGCGAAAGUUACGCUAAUACCGCAUAUGCCCUGAGGGGGAAAGGGGGGGAUCGCAAGACCUCUCGCUUUCGGAGUGGCCGAUAUCGGAUUAGCUAGAUGGUGAGGUAAAGGCUCACCAUGGCGACGAUCCGUAGCUGGUCUGAGAGGACGACCAGCCACACUGGAACUGAGACACGGUCCAGACUCCUACGGGAGGCAGCAGUGGGGAAUUUUGGACAAUGGGCGAAAGCCUGAUCCAGCCAUACCGCGUGAGUGAAGAAGGCCUUCGGGUUGUAAAGCUCUUUCAGCCGGAAAGAAAUCGCAUUCCUUAAUACGGGGUGUGGAUGACGGUACCGGAAGAAGAAGCACCGGCUAACUACGUGCCAGCCGCCGCGGU
This 516-nucleotide ribosomal RNA is filed under the name uncultured bacterium. Its description in RNAcentral is "bacterial SSU rRNA". It matches the Rfam family "Bacterial small subunit ribosomal RNA", at positions 8 to 521 of the family's 1533-position model. The record is from RNAcentral.